Molecule: ribosomal RNA, 358 nt
Filed under: uncultured maize rhizosphere bacterium c19_23
Lineage: Bacteria
Description: bacterial SSU rRNA
Rfam family: Bacterial small subunit ribosomal RNA
Source: RNAcentral
CGCGUGGGAACGUGCCCUUUAGUUCGGAAUAACUCAGGGAAACUUGAGCUAAUACCGAAUACGUCCGUAAGGAGAAAGAUUUAUCGCUAAAGGAUCGGCCCGCGUAAGAUUAGCUAGUUGGUGAGGUAACGGCUCACCAAGGCUAUGAUCUUUAGCUGUUCUGAGAGGAAGAUCAGCCACACUGGAACUGAGACACGGUCCAGACUCCUACGGGAGGCAGCAGUGGGGAAUAUUGGACAAUGGGCGAAAGCCUGAUCCAGCCAUGCCGCGUGGGUGAUGAAGGCCCUAGGGUUGUAAAGCUCUUUCAACGGUGAAGAUAAUGACGUUACCCGCAGAAGAAGCACCGGCUAACUCCGUG